RNAcentral lists this ribosomal RNA (452 nucleotides) under uncultured bacterium. RNAcentral's name for it is "bacterial SSU rRNA". It matches the Rfam family "Bacterial small subunit ribosomal RNA", at positions 29 to 526 of the family's 1533-position model. The record is from RNAcentral.
AACGAACGCUGGCGGCAUGCCUAACACAUGCAAGUCGAACGAUCCCUUCGGGGAUAGUGGCGCACGGGUGCGUAACGCGUGGGAAUCUGCCCUUGGGUUCGGAAUAACAGUGAGAAAUUACUGCUAAUACCGGAUGAUGUCUUCGGACCAAAGAUUUAUCGCCCAAGGAUGAGCCCGCGUAGGAUUAGCUAGUUGGUGGGGUAAUGGCCUACCAAGGCGACGAUCCUUAGCUGGUCUGAGAGGAUGAUCAGCCACACUGGGACUGAGACACGGCCCAGACUCCUACGGGAGGCAGCAGUGGGGAAUAUUGGACAAUGGGCGAAAGCCUGAUCCAGCAAUGCCGCGUGAGUGAUGAAGGCCUUAGGGUUGUAAAGCUCUUUUACCCGGGAUGAUAAUGACAGUACCGGGAGAAUAAGCUCCGGCUAACUCCGUGCCAGCCGCCGCCGUAACAC